This 429-nucleotide ribosomal RNA is filed under the name Fusobacteriota bacterium. RNAcentral describes it as "Fusobacteria bacterium partial 16S ribosomal RNA". It matches the Rfam family "Bacterial small subunit ribosomal RNA", at positions 355 to 776 of the family's 1533-position model. The record is from RNAcentral. Lineage: Bacteria; Fusobacteriati; Fusobacteriota.
UGGGGAAUAUUGCGCAAUGGGCGAAAGCCUGACGCAGCGACGCCGCGUGAGGGAUGAAGGCUUUCGGAUCGUAAACCUCUGUCAGAAGGGAAGAAACCGCACUGUGCUAAUCAGCAGUGCCUUGACGGUACCUUCAAAGGAAGCACCGGCUAACUCCGUGCCAGCAGCCGCGGUAAUACGGAGGGUGCAAGCGUUAAUCGGAAUUACUGGGCGUAAAGCGCACGUAGGCUGCUUUGUAAGUCAGGGGUGAAAUCCCACGGCUCAACCGUGGAACUGCCUUUGAUACUGCUUAGCUUGAAUCCGGGAGAGGGUGGCGGAAUUCCAGGUGUAGGAGUGAAAUCCGUAGAUAUCUGGAGGAACAACAGUGGCGAAGGCGGCCACCUGGACCGGUAUUGACGCUGAGGUGCGAAAGCGUGGGGAGCAAACAGG